GUGAGCAGUCCUCAGGUUCUACGUGCAGGUGCCAGGGCAGGGCGAACCUUGCCAUCAUAGAAAACCCCCAAAGAGGCAAGAAGGCAAACAUUGGCCCAUUCCACUUUGUAAACAUCCCCUUAAAAAGCUUUCGCUAAUCUCCUAUUUAGUCUUUUGUAUAACCCACAUUUGCUAAGCAUCUAUAAUGCUCUGGUCAAAUAAAACUGAGUGACUUCUGAGAAGCUUAGGCCAUUCUGAGGCUUGCAGAGAUAAUACCUAGACACUGAUAUUUUCUGUAGCCAGUUCUGUAAGAACUAAGAGUGGCGAGUCCCUUUUCCUGCAGUGAAAAUGUUAUGAAAUUUUCCUUUUUGGCGUCCUUCACCCAAGCCAACCUUACACCCACACAUGUAACUGCACUGAAUAGUGUAUUUUUUGAGCAAAGGAAAAAUAUAAAGCUGUCCUGGUGAUUGAUUUAGAAGGCCUGGCUCUACUUAAAUUCCCAGCAUAUUAACAGAGUGCUACCCUUGAGGGCUCCACCAAAGAGCUGCCCUUUCAGGGCUCACCUGCAGCAGCCAGCAGACUUUAGCAAAAGCACCUGGGACAAAGGCAGUGCGACAAUGCAGUUAGCUGGGAAAAUCCAAUUGGAGAAUUCAUUUACGCCCAUCAUGUAGUCUCAGCACACUUCCUUAGGAACUGUCAUAAAAUGGUUUAAGCAUCUCCUUAAGCUUCUGUGAUACAGACACUGUUCAGGUGUCCAUGUUCAGUGCUACCAACCCUCCCUAAACCACAGAGCCUACUGACUUGGACUCCUUCUUUCUCUGAUUCUUGACUGAAGGGAGCCCUAAAAAUGUAUGAAGACACUUUGGUGGCAGCUGGAUCCUGCUGGUGAUCAGGACCCUGGGACGGUGAUCCUGUACAAUGGUCCUACUCCACCCAAUAGGGCCCCAAGAGAAACCUGCUGCUGCCGCAUGUAUGUGGAAGAUAAGACACUUUUAUGUGGAGGAUGAAAAGGGCCUUUAGCUGGGACCUAGAAAUACAAUGGCUAUUUGCGAACACUCUCCUUGUGACUGCUUCCUCUGUCUCUCCUGGUAAGUGUGGCUGACCUCACUCAGUCCCAGUGGUGGUCUGGUGAGGUAGCGAGUCUGGAGUCUUCCUGGCUCAUGGAAGUUUGGUUCUAAAACUUUCUUUGAGCAUACAAUAUUCUCGUAGGACUGGGUCAGCAGUGGCCAAGUGGCAUCAUAUGGUUUUUAUGGAGCAGAGAGUAGGAUAUGCCCUGGAUGGUUCUAGUGGUGUGCACGGAACUAAGGGGCAUCAUACAAGGCAGUGUGCUUCUAUGAUGAGGGAGGAUCCGGAGUAUCAUAUAACAGCUGGGCAGCAUCGUUUGAGGGGAUGCUCUGACCCCCAGCCUCAGGAGUGGAAAGAUAAGAGGUGCAAUUUUGGGGUGCAAACAUGCAUGGGGCUCUCAUGGAAGAUAUAAUUCAUCCCUACAAGAUGGCCUCCUAAACGGUCUUAACUGAGGAUUGUCUAGGGUUCCACCUGUGUGUCAUUCAGAGCCACUGAGUAUUAGCGUAGUGGGUACAAAUUCUGAGUCAAACCUCUCAGUAAAGGCUCUUCACACUCCCAGGCAAGAGCACCGUCCAUACGGUUUCCAGCUGGGGAAGCCCUUAACUCAGCUCUGAUCACAGCGCACCAAAGAGGCCUCAGCUCUGCCGUCAAGUUUUCAUC
This is a non-coding RNA of Rattus norvegicus (Norway rat), 1704 nucleotides long. The record is from RefSeq and is a predicted model, not a curated record. Lineage: Eukaryota; Metazoa; Chordata; Mammalia; Rodentia; Muridae.